Daucus carota subsp. sativus is the source of this 871-nucleotide long non-coding RNA. RefSeq lists it as uncharacterized. The transcript has 2 exons. The record is from RefSeq and is a predicted model, not a curated record. Lineage: Eukaryota; Viridiplantae; Streptophyta; Magnoliopsida; Apiales; Apiaceae.
UAAUGAACUUAAAAACACCAAAUGUAAUAUCGUAGUUCAGAAUCUGUCACAAAUUAUAUUUUUCCAUUUAAUUAAUGUAACGUUGUUAACAAAGUUGGGGUUAUUUCAUAAUUUAACCUCAAUAAUGACUCUUGGAUGCUUAAUCGAGCUGCAGCCCCAUUUUGAUGCCAUUACUUGUUCGAACCCUAAUUUUAGAGCCGAAACAACUCAGGAGUCAGGAGAGCGGUUGGAUUGCAUGGCAGGAUAAAGGAGUAACCGUGAAAGAGUAUUGGGUGGAAAAGCUAAAGCCAGGUGAAGAAGAUAAGGCGCUUUCAACAAUGAUUACAGAGUUUUUUAGUAAGCCUAAUGGAGAAAAGACAGAGGAAGUGCCUAAUGGCGGAGGAGGACGUAACAUUUCUCAGAUAGUUUCUGAUGCUGUUCAUAAACGCGAGCCAGAAGAAAGCGAAAAACAUAAGCCAAUGACUUUGGCAGACAAGGUGGUUGAGCUCAGAACACUCUGGGGACAACUUUAGGAGCCAGGAAGAGGCUUUUCCAGAUGAUGAUAAAUGAGCUAUCAACUGUAUUUGAAGUUGUAACAGGCUGUGAUAAACAGUCAAAGGACUCUGCUCGAAGUAAUGGAAAUAAAAGCAAAUCUAAUGGAACAAGGUGAUAUAUAUCUUGAAACUCUGGACUUAUAGUUACACUUGUUAUGAUUUUGUUAACAAUUAAACAAGUUAUCUUCAAACUCUAAACAAGUUAACAAUUAGAACGUCUGCUGACAAAGUUUCAGAUGUUUUGUUUUUUUAGAUUAUUGCAAGAACUGCUGGCACUCUGUGAUGAUACUAUGAAGGUUUAGUUAAUCUAUUAAUGGAACAAUGCCUUGAUUACAGAA